Long non-coding RNA from Crotalus tigris (Tiger rattlesnake), 492 nucleotides. RefSeq lists it as uncharacterized. Lineage: Eukaryota; Metazoa; Chordata; Lepidosauria; Squamata; Viperidae. The record is from RefSeq and is a predicted model, not a curated record. The transcript has 3 exons.
GACGGAGUAUCUCUGUUGGGGCGCUUCUCCUUCAAUGUUUUCACAUUCAUCGCAGAUUCUGAAGAAGUGUAUCUACACUGUCGUAUCCGCCUCUGCAACUUCUGGGUGGCCAAAUGCACAGUGAACUGCCAUUCACCAGACUCUGUGAUAGUGGGAAGGAAGCCUCCAUCAGCCAUCAUCUCAGCUGGUCCUUUCUUGAAAUACAGUAGCAAUUUGCUAGAUCACGCACUUUAGUGUCCUGGACUCCCUGCUGACCUCUUUUCCUGGGAACAUGGAUGGAUGGAUGGAUGGACAUUGCAGACAAUGAGGUCUAUCAUUCACAGAGAGAUUUUCAGGCUGAUAUAGUCUUUGGUUGAAUCAAUAAGGGACAGAGAACAUUGUAACUCAGGAGGUGAAAAAAGCUCUGGAUGAUGCUAGGAGUCAUAGUUAGAUACAGUCUUGAUUAUUCAAUGGUUGAAUGUAUGUAUAAUUAAAGUUGCGAAGUACACAAAA